GAAGUGUGGCGCGCGCUCACAGAGGCUUUCUCGGCAAACAGUGACGUUUACCUGCCACACACACACACACACUCUCACGCUCACACAUCUCUCUCUCUCUCUCGCUCACAGACUCAAACAUACACACGCAGAGAGGUCCCGGUAGCAGAAGCACCCAGUUGCCCCAGUUUCAAUAAAGGUCCAGACUGUAUCUGGGCCAACGCCUGUCGAGGCUCUCAGCUUCACGCCUGCUGCAGCAGCAGGCAGGGGACACAGGAGGGUGACAAAUUGGUUUGUUGCAUCAUCCAGCCACCUCACCAGGGCAGCUGAUCCUAUAAAACUGUGGCUUCUUCCAUGGCAUCCACCCACCUGUAUGAGGAGUACAUUUUUAAAUUAGAAACAUACAGAAUAAUCUAAAGUUGUGCCAAAAGAUUACGUUUGGUCUCCAACCCCAAAUAUAUUGAUUUGCAUGCCCAUCAGCAAGACAGAUAGCAACAUAAAAGUCUAAGCUCAUUUCAAUAAUUAAGUGUACAUUUUGGUCCAUCAGAGAUGUGUACCUAAUUAAAUACAUAGACUUAAACAUUUUGUUUUUUGGUUGUUUCUUCCCAGAUAGUCACAAUAUAUCUGCAGCAACCAUGGCUAAGAUGUAGGAUAAUCAUGAUGAGUAUUUUACCCUUUGUAAACUAUCCAGCCAUAAAUACUACAGCUACAGGCACUAUGUUUCCUUGUUGUCUCAAACCCCAGUAAGACUUACAUCCCUCUUUUGUUAAUCUUCAAACAUUUCAAUAUCAGUUAUUAAAUGUCCAUAUGUCUCACCUCUGGGCUGUGUAGUUGUCUGAUGCUUUA
Molecule: long non-coding RNA, 825 nt
Organism: Notolabrus celidotus (New Zealand spotty)
Lineage: Eukaryota; Metazoa; Chordata; Actinopteri; Labriformes; Labridae
Exons: 3
Source: RefSeq, a predicted model, not a curated record